CCGGCCUGAAGGGAGGAAGAGGAAGGAACCCAUAAUCAUCCCAAACUGGCGCAAAUGGGUCUGGGGAAUAAAGAAUGGGAUGAAAUGGUGAGAGUCCAGAGGGGUUGAGCAAAGAACUCACUAUCACACAGCAAGGCACUAAUUUGAAAUGCCUGGGAGAAGUAGAAGCUGCAUUUGACUCUCAUAUUCUUAUUGGACCAGGAAGGCAGGAGGAGACACCAGUGUGCACCAGAGAAGGAGAAGUCAGAGAUGACAGUCCCUGCCUGAGGCCAUCUCUGGUCCACCAGACAACUCAUCACCAACUUCCCAACAGCCACUGCUCUAGGCCAGGCUUGGAUCUGCUCUUGAAUCUGCCCCUGCGGAAAGAGGGCCGUUUGGACAGGCUGUGCCUGGAGAUUUCUGGCCUCAUAAAAUCCUCCUGGUCUCUUAGGAGAGCUGGUGACACUCUCCAGGUCCUUGGUGGAGCCUGAUGAUUGACAUCUUAAGCAAAUUCUCUGGAGAAGUCGAUGCUCCUGAUGGAGGCUCACACAUUGAUAACCCCUGGUUUAGAGACACUACUAAUUGUUCCAGCUCAUCCAGCUAAUAAAUGACAGAUCUCAGACUUAAU
This 607-nucleotide long non-coding RNA is filed under the name Homo sapiens (human). RNAcentral describes it as "long non-coding RNA NONHSAT207067.1". The record is from RNAcentral. Lineage: Eukaryota; Metazoa; Chordata; Mammalia; Primates; Hominidae.